This is a non-coding RNA of Daphnia pulex (common water flea), 82 nucleotides long. The record is from Rfam. Lineage: Eukaryota; Metazoa; Arthropoda; Branchiopoda; Diplostraca; Daphniidae.
GUUUCCAUCUUACCGGGCAGCAUUAGAUUGGCUUUUUAAACAAGCAUCGUGAUUUCUAAUACUGUCAGGUAAAGAUGUCCUC